CGCUUGGUAGGCGGUCAAAUAUGUAAACAUCCAAUCAUCGAUCAUUUUGGGCGGAAGUGGUUCGCAUGCGCUCCUGGCUGCAAGAAAACCUAUAUUAGCUAGCAGCGCUAUGGCGGGUGAGGACGAGGAGUUGGUCCAGUUGAGGAAAAGUAGAACUCUGAUCAUCCGCCAUCUCCCUGCUGACCUGUCCAGGGAUGAGAAGCAGGAUCUACUCAAGUACUUUGGUGCCGUGGGAGUCAGAGUGUUCUCUGAUAAAGGAGUACUGAGACACACAGCCUUUGCAACAUUUGCGAGUGAAAAGUCUGCAGCAAAGGCUCUGAGCAGGCUUCACCAGCUACAGAUCCUCAACCAUACCCUGGUGGUGGAGUUUGCCAAAGACCAGGAACAUGUGACAGUGCUGAAAGACCCACCUGUGUCAGACAGUGCAACAGAUGGCAAAGAUGUGAAGAAGAAAAAGGAAGUGACACAACCGAGUAUACCACUAAUAGAGACUGGCACUGCACCCAAACUCGGGUUGAAAUUUCCAUCAAAUCCCAGUCUGAAAUAUUUAUAUCCACCUCCUUCGAAUGGGAUUCUGACAAACAUAACACAUGCCCUUCUGAGCGUACCAAACUUUUACGUUCAGGUCCUUCACCUGAUGAACAAGAUGAACCUACCGUCUCCGUUCGGCCCCAUCACAGCAAGACCUCCGAUGUAUGAGAUGCAUCCUGCCCCCCCUCCACCAAUGCCGCCCCCCUAUCCUCCCCACUACCCCCCCUUACCAGCAGAUGAGAUGGACCUCUCCAGCGAGGAGGGGUCUGAGUAUGAGAGUGGAGAUGACGAGGACAAAGAGAGGAUGAUUCGCCUGAUGGGUCUGGUCAACCAAGCAUGCAAGAGACCUCUGAGAACUAAAGUGUCCUCCAAGAGAAAGAAACCCAAGUUCAAGGAUCUUCUCUUUGUCCCCAAGCCCGAAUCUCAGAGUGCUCCAGGGCCCAUCUUGCAGCCAUCAGAUGUGUUUGAGCAGCCCCAGCCUUGCGGACAGAAGAAGAUUGAGUUCCACAUUUCAGCAGAUGUGUCAGCCAUACUGGAAGGUGGAGGAGGCAACUCCACCCAGCCACAGGAGCCCACUGAGGAGGCUGAAGUAGCAGCUGAGGAGAUGCAGGCCACCACUACUACAGAGGAGGAUCCAGGGGAGGGCUUUGGGAAGAUCUACCCUGCCGCCCAGGCCUCCCAACUGGAGGAGGACAGUGAUGAGGAUGAGGAUGUCCCCUCUGAUGUCAUCUCCAGGAAGGAACUGGAUAAGGGACGGCUGUCCAGAGACGAGAUAAAAAGGAUGUCCGUGUAUAAAAAUUAUGAACCUGGAGAGCCGACCAGCAGACUUUACGUGAAGAAUAUCGCCAAGUCAGUAGAAGAGAAAGAUCUGAAAUACAUCUAUGGGCGAUACAUCGACGUUUCAUCUGAGGCAGAGAGAAAUAUGUUUGACAUAGUGCUGAUGAGGGAGGGUCGUAUGAAGGGCCAGGCAUUCGUUGGUCUCCCAAGUGAGAGGAGUGCAGAGAAGGCCCUGAGAGACACCAACGGUUACGUCCUCUAUGACAAGCCCCUCGUCGUCUCGUUUGCCAGGUCUGCCAGACCUAAAGCGGACACCCCGGACCCCAAGAAAGGACCCAAACGAACCCGAUGAACAGAUAUUGAUGUCAAGUUGAAGUUACAUGGUGAUAGUGUGGCCCAGCAGUGAUGGAAUCCUCUGCAAACUGAAGACAACACGUUAGGAAUAUAAUUUCUUCAGGUUUUUUUUUUUUUCAUAAAAUAUUUUUUAUAUAUGUAUUGUCUGUCUAUAAAUGCCUUCUAGUCCACUGUAAGGUCUUUAUUAGUUUUCUUUAAUACUUUUUUUGGUACAUGUUACAUAAUCACACAAUGUCAAAGUUGCCUAAUUAGAAAAUAUAGAUAUGAAUUUACACAAUUUUGUGUCAUUGGUGAACUAUCUGUAGGGUCACAGGAAUUUUUUAUCUCAGAGAAAGUGAGAACUGAACAGGAGAGAGUAGGUAAAUAUAGACAGUGAAAGCAAUUUGAAAUCUGAAUUGGCUGUGAGCCUCAGCAACAGAUGGUGGUGUCAACGCUGUAGACUAGAGUAACACACUCCUGACGAGACAAACAAACAAGCAAACAAACACGGACUGUGAAAGAUGCUGGUAGGCAGAGACUGAGUCCGUCAACGUGGCUGUACCCUGCUGGCUGUACUCUGGAUUCAUGAUGAUUGCUAGAUUUUUAUUGGGGAUGGAGCAAAGUGCACACUGGAGGAAGGUGAGCAUUGCAAUUAAAACAGACAUUGUUUAUUAUUAAAAUCACGUUUCUUGUGUUGUCAGUUCCAUGCACCGAGGUAAAGAACUGACUGAUUUCGAUAUUCAACGGAUAUUUGCUCUUUCAAACCUCAAUAGCUUUCAAACCACUUGAGCCACAGACUCCAAAUAAGUGUCAUGAUUUUGGAAAAUUGCGCACAACAUUGCACAGGUCUUAUUUUCACGAUUUAGACAUUUAAUUUGCUUUUCCAAAGCUAAUAAACAUGUGGAAAUGUGA
Molecule: RNA transcript, 2553 nt
Organism: Oncorhynchus mykiss (rainbow trout)
Lineage: Eukaryota; Metazoa; Chordata; Actinopteri; Salmoniformes; Salmonidae
Gene: rnpc3
Gene name: RNA-binding region (RNP1, RRM) containing 3
Source: RefSeq, a predicted model, not a curated record